Molecule: long non-coding RNA, 271 nt
Filed under: Lepisosteus oculatus (spotted gar)
Lineage: Eukaryota; Metazoa; Chordata; Actinopteri; Semionotiformes; Lepisosteidae
Description: lncRNA (ENSLOCG00000023161.1)
Source: RNAcentral
UGUGCACCUCUGAUACAAAGCGCGCAACUGCUUUUAAACAAAAAGAUCGACCUGCUAGAUGCGUCUCUCAGGGAGGGAGAAUCGAACCUGAGAUCCCGGCGUUUCAUUUUCGUGGAGGAAAAAAAAAAGCUGUUGAGCACCACAGUCCAGGCGCAGUAGGGACUUGUACAUCUGCAGGCAGGUCUCGCUGUUCCGCUGCAAUGGUAAGAAAAGUUAUUUUUUCCACUGUAUAAACCAGAAAAAUGUUCAUUAAGAACUGGUUAUUUGGAAC